GGAGGCCCGUUUCUCUCUUUGGUUAUCUAGCUGUAUGAGUGCCACAGAGCCGUCAUAAAGCUAGAUAACCGAAAGUAGAAAUGACUCUCA
Ailuropoda melanoleuca (giant panda) is the source of this 90-nucleotide microRNA precursor. Ensembl annotates it as microRNA 9-3. NCBI's taxonomy places the organism in Eukaryota, Metazoa, Chordata, Mammalia, Carnivora, Ursidae. The record is from Ensembl.